GGGAAGAAGGGUCGGCUCCUCCUCAUCUCCUGUCUCGUUGGCCUAACUUUGCUCCCGGCUGGCAAACUCGUCUGCGCCUCCUGGAUGUGGGGCGUAGAGCCUGGCGGAGAAGCGGUGACGCCUGGCGGGGAGCUCCACCGGAGCCUGACGUGGCGGGAGCCGGGGCCUGGGUCUGCUCUGGUCCAAUGUGAGUGCGGGGCUACUUCGGUGUCUGCCGCUGAGGGUGCCACGGAGCCUGUGCGGGACCCCAGACCUCGCUGCAGGAAGUCUGGGACAGGCGAGAGGCUGUGGGGAUCCCGGUCGGCGCUCUCCUUUGAGUAGAUGGCCCAGUUGUCCUUGAGGGAGGCAGGUCGGUGGUGCCUUUGGGGAGUCUGUGGGGGGCUGUCCUCUCUCUGGUGACUCAUAGAUUUCCAUGAAUUCAUCUUGUGCCGUCACCACCUCAACUUGUGGCUUCCAAGGUCACUGCAACAGAGGAAGUGAGGAAGGGCUGAAGCUCCGGGACUUUUCACCUCCUCCACCAUAUGUGAACCCACUCACUUCCACCCAUCAUCCAUCCACCGGAAGAGGAUCCACUCACUUCCGCCCAUCAUCCGUCCACCGGAAGAGGACCCACUCACUUCCACCCAUCAUCCAUCCACCUGUAGAGGAUCCACUCACUUCCGCUACUUAACUAAUUCUUGGUUAAUCAUCCAUCAUCCAUCCACCGGAAAAGGACCCACUCGCUUCUGCCCAUCAUCCACCACCCUUGUUUCUGGCCAUCCUCCAUCCACCGGAAGAGGACACAUUCGCUUCCACCCAUCAUCCACGUGGGGAGCCCAAAGGCCUCAGUCUGCCUUCAGGUGAACUGAGACAGGUAGAGCAGCACCUGCAGGGAUCUCGUGAUCUCCGCCUGUCUCUGCACUGCCACCACCUCCUCCUGCCUCCCUCUCCACAUCUGGUCUGGGAGUAGUUUACACAGGGACCUAACAUCACGAGUGCCCUCAAUCCAUUUUAUUUUCCUGAAGACUCCACUCCAGGAGCGCUCUAAUCCCUUCUAUAGGCUGGAGUGGAAAUAGCCUGAUGGUAUUCUGAUUCUAGUUCUUCUGUGUGUGACCCUUUUUUUUUUCCUUUUCUUUUCUAUCUGGAAGCUGGUUGAAUCUUACAAUAAAAUGUCUUAGUGUGGGUCUUAUUAUUAUUUUUUUUUUACUGUGCUGGGCAUUUGUGGCCCCUUUCUGUCCGAGGAGUUGGACACUGUUGUCACCAGUUUCUUGCGCACCUUCGGGAGAUGGGCUGAG
Long non-coding RNA from Suricata suricatta (meerkat), 1274 nucleotides. RefSeq lists it as uncharacterized. NCBI's taxonomy places the organism in Eukaryota, Metazoa, Chordata, Mammalia, Carnivora, Herpestidae. The transcript is spliced from 3 exons. The record is from RefSeq and is a predicted model, not a curated record.